Molecule: non-coding RNA, 238 nt
Filed under: Thermobacillus composti
Lineage: Bacteria; Bacillati; Bacillota; Bacilli; Caryophanales; Paenibacillaceae
Description: T-box sequence
Rfam family: T-box leader
About the family: Uncharged tRNA acts as the effector for transcription antitermination of genes in the T-box leader family. T-boxes are found upstream of many aminoacyl-tRNA synthetase genes and some amino acid biosynthetic genes usually in Gram-positive bacteria.
Source: RNAcentral
AUUAUGGCUGUGAAGAGGAGCAGUAGUGCGAUUCGCACCGGAAGAAGAGAGCCGGCGGCUGGUGCAAGCCGGACCGGUGGGCGCGCGAACUCGCCUCGGAGCCGCAUUCGUGAACCGGCGCAAUCCCGCGCCGACAGCGAUGCCGUACGGCCCGCGUUAAGGGCCUCGAGUGGACAGCGGCGAAGCACGCCGGCUGUCAACUAGGGUGGUACCGCGGGAGAAGCCUCUCGUCCCUGGC